CAAAGUGUAGCUUAAAUAAAGCAUCUGGCUUACACCCAGAAGAUUUCACACCCAUUGGCCACUUUGAAGCUAGGA
Molecule: transfer RNA, 75 nt
Filed under: Odobenus rosmarus (walrus)
Lineage: Eukaryota; Metazoa; Chordata; Mammalia; Carnivora; Odobenidae
Description: tRNA-Val
Rfam family: tRNA (bases 1-67)
About the family: Transfer RNA (tRNA) molecules are approximately 80 nucleotides in length. Their secondary structure includes four short double-helical elements and three loops (D, anti-codon, and T loops).
Source: RNAcentral